This 254-nucleotide ribosomal RNA is filed under the name uncultured bacterium. RNAcentral's name for it is "partial 16S ribosomal RNA". It matches the Rfam family "Bacterial small subunit ribosomal RNA", at positions 524 to 776 of the family's 1533-position model. The record is from RNAcentral.
UACGGGGGGAGCAAGCGUUGUUCGGAUUUACUGGGCGUAAAGGGCGCGUAGGCGGUCAGCACAAGUCAGUUGUGAAAUCUCCGGGCUUAACUCGGAAAGGUCAACUGAUACUGUGCGACUAGAGUGCGGAAGGGGCAACUGGAACUCUCGGUGUAGCGGUGAAAUGCGUAGAUAUCGAGAGGAACACCUGCGACGAAGGCGGGUUGCUGGGCCGACACUGACGCUGAUGCGCGAAAGCCAGGGGAGCGAACGGG